UCGUAGUUGAAUUUGUGUCUUGCUCUGUCGGUUCAUCGCUGACUGCGGUGUUUAACUGGCAUGGUGCGAGACGUCUUGCCGGAAGGGCAUGGUAUAUGUUUUAUUUGUGUAAAAUAUAAUAUAUACACUGGUAAUUAAUAUUAUAUAGUUAAUAGCUAUAUUUAUAUUUUAUUAUUUGUUGUUUUAUAUUAUAUUGCGCCAGAUAAUAACGUGUACGUAGUCCGACUUUAUAAUCCUGUCGAGGUGCUCUUAACUGAGUGUCGUCGCGGGCCGGCACGUUUACUUUGAACAAAUUAGAGUGCUUAAAGCAGGCUAAUGUUGCCUGAAUAUAGUGUGCAUGGAAUAAUGAAACAGGACCUCGGUUCUAUUUUGUUGGUUUUCUGAUCAAACGAGGUAAUGAUUAAUAGGGACAGAUGGGGGCAUUCGUAUUGCGACGUUAGAGGUGAAAUUCUUGGAUCG
This 459-nucleotide ribosomal RNA is filed under the name Oxycheila nigroaenea. RNAcentral describes it as "SSU rRNA". The stretch from base 159 to 459 matches the Rfam family "Eukaryotic small subunit ribosomal RNA", at positions 631 to 927 of the family's 1831-position model. The record is from RNAcentral. Lineage: Eukaryota; Metazoa; Arthropoda; Insecta; Coleoptera; Carabidae.